CGGCGUGCCUAAUACAUGCAAGUCAGCGAACUUAACUAACUGAUCAAGUGCUUGCACGGAGUGACGUUAGAGCGGUGAGCGGCGGAUGGGUGAGUAACACGUGGGUAACCUGCCUUAAUGGGGGAUAACAUUUGGAAACAGAUGCUAAUACCGCAUAAAUCCUCAAACCACAUGGUUUGAGGCUGAAAGAAGGCUUCGGCUUUCACUUAAGGAUGGACCCGCGGCGCAUUAGUUAGUUGGUGAGGUAAUGGCUCACCAAGACAGUGAUGCGUAGCCGACCUGAGAGGGUGAUCGGCCACAUUGGGACUGAGACACGGCCCAAACUCCUACGGGAGGCAGCAGUAGGGAAUCUUCCACAAUGGACGCAAGUCUGAUGGAGCAACGCCGCGUGAGUGAAGAAGGUUUUCGGAUCGUAAAACUCUGUUGUUGGAGAAGAACACUAGUGAGAGUAACUGUUCAUUAGUUGACGGUAUCCAACCAGAAAGCCACGGCUAACUACGUG
RNAcentral lists this ribosomal RNA (502 nucleotides) under uncultured Lactobacillus sp. Its description in RNAcentral is "bacterial SSU rRNA". It matches the Rfam family "Bacterial small subunit ribosomal RNA", at positions 40 to 507 of the family's 1533-position model. The record is from RNAcentral. Lineage: Bacteria; Bacillati; Bacillota; Bacilli; Lactobacillales; Lactobacillaceae.